RNAcentral lists this ribosomal RNA (119 nucleotides) under Jaculus jaculus (lesser Egyptian jerboa). Lineage: Eukaryota; Metazoa; Chordata; Mammalia; Rodentia; Dipodidae. The record is from RNAcentral.
AUCUAUAGCUAUACCACCCUGAACUUGCCUGAUCUUGUCUGGUCUCAGAAGCAGAGCAUGGAUGGGCUUAAUUAGUACUUGGAAGGAAGAACUACAACUGAAUAUGUCAACUGUAAUUA